Long non-coding RNA from Hibiscus syriacus, 378 nucleotides. RefSeq lists it as uncharacterized. The transcript is spliced from 3 exons. NCBI's taxonomy places the organism in Eukaryota, Viridiplantae, Streptophyta, Magnoliopsida, Malvales, Malvaceae. The record is from RefSeq and is a predicted model, not a curated record.
CUGAUUUUCCCCUUUACCUUGUCUUCUUCUUCCUCUCAAAGCUUCAUCAUUAUCUUCUUAGUGGCUAGAGCAAAGGAAGCACCUUUAAUGUCUACAUGCCGUAGUCCAAAUUGUGAAGUGAGAGAAGUUGGAGAAAGCUUCAAGGGCAAGAGAAAGAAGAUGUUGGUGCUUGGGUAACCCUUGUGGACGUUUUCCAUCAGCUGUAGUAAGUUUCUUAGGUUCCAGUUCAAGGAGCUUAUCACCAGAUUGUAGAUUCUAGAUUUCAUCGAGCUUCAAAUUAUGUCUUGGUUAUUUUAGUGGGCAUGUAUUUCUAGACCUUAUGUGUAAUUGAGUCGUAACUCUUUUGGUAAACUCUAAUAUUUUAUUUGGAGAUAUUAU